CCGCUGUUUAUCGUCCGGACAGCCGGGGUCACUCCAGAUGAAGACCUCUCUGCUCCAAGUGGCCUGAUGCGGGGCACAGGUUCCUUUAUGAAACGUGGCAACUGUAUCAACGGCUUACUUGAACGGAAGCGACCAUGUGUGGCCCGUGCUCCACUUACACCGUCACAAAAGCCCUGGGAGGAGCCUGCCCCCCUCGCUCUCUGGUCACAGGGCUCCCAAGCCCAUCCUUGGCCCCAUGGUGGGAGGGGUCUGCCUCUCUCUCCCCUCCUAACUUCCCCUCUGUUCUCUGAGGGGCCCCGCUCGGCCCUCCGGGCAGAGUAGACAUCUUCUGGAAAAGCCCACGUUGCCUGCAAUGCACGGAUGCCGUAGACGCCGGGGACAGUGACAGGGAGCGGCCAGCCUGUACCGGCCGCCGUGUACGGGCCCAUGUUUCCGGGCGUCCUUGCCCGAACCAGCCCUGCGAGGCAGGUUCAGCCCUCUCGCCGAGCAGAGAACAGAGGCAGGUAAGCGAUGCCUGGUGUCUUCCAUCUGCCCGAACUGGGAACCCGGAGCCUGAGACCUGACCCCCCGGAGGCAGGAGGCAGAGUGUGGAGAUGCACAAUGGCCCUACAGCAGCCUCUGCACACGACACAAAAGCACCUUCUAGGACAGAGGACCUGAGCUUCCUCCUACCCACGAGUGCCCGACCCUCACGCUUUCUUUGUUGAGAAGGAAAAAAAGAUCACACUUAAGCAAAAGUAAACCACAGCCUGAUACUGUGCCAACAACAUUAACCAACUUCUCCUCGGCGUCUUUGAAGUCGGCGGGGGGCAACAUACUUGUGGCACAAGGAAAGAGCGAUCCUGUAAGUGAUUCCUUUUCAUCCCUUUAACUUAAUGAAAGAUUAAUGGCCUUGUUA
Suricata suricatta (meerkat) is the source of this 898-nucleotide long non-coding RNA. RefSeq lists it as uncharacterized. Lineage: Eukaryota; Metazoa; Chordata; Mammalia; Carnivora; Herpestidae. The transcript has 4 exons. The record is from RefSeq and is a predicted model, not a curated record.